AAAGUCGUAACAAGGUUUCCGUAGGUGAACCUGCGGAAGGAUCAUUACCGUGAAGCGGCUGGGGGACCAUCCCCCCAGCGCGCCGACCCUGUGUGUACGUUCUGGUUGCUUCGGCGGGCCGUCCGCUCGUCGGCCGCCGGCCUCGGCCGGUGUGCGCCCGCCGGAAGACCGUCCAACCCGGCCUUACGGUGACGUCCGAGCAAAAACAUUGAGAAAUCAGCAAAACUUUCAACAACGGAUCUCUUGGUUCCG
RNAcentral lists this unclassified non-coding RNA (252 nucleotides) under Ascomycota sp. RNAcentral describes it as "partial contains small subunit ribosomal RNA, internal transcribed spacer 1, and 5.8S ribosomal RNA". The stretch from base 1 to 47 matches the Rfam family "Eukaryotic small subunit ribosomal RNA", at positions 1785 to 1831 of the family's 1831-position model. Lineage: Eukaryota; Fungi; Ascomycota. The record is from RNAcentral.